Non-coding RNA from Pangasianodon gigas (Mekong giant catfish), 72 nucleotides. The record is from the annotation of a GenBank genome assembly. Lineage: Eukaryota; Metazoa; Chordata; Actinopteri; Siluriformes; Pangasiidae.
UUUUUUUUUUUUUUUUUUUUUUUUUUUUUUUUUUUUUUUUUUUUUUUUAACUACCAUAUGGCACUCUGCUCU